GAGGGUAUAGGUCAGUGGUAGAGUAUGUGCUUAGCAUGCACGAAGUCCUGGGUUCAAUCCCCAGUACCGCCA
RNAcentral lists this transfer RNA (72 nucleotides) under Camelus bactrianus (Bactrian camel). It matches the Rfam family "tRNA". From Rfam's summary of the family: Transfer RNA (tRNA) molecules are approximately 80 nucleotides in length. Their secondary structure includes four short double-helical elements and three loops (D, anti-codon, and T loops). The record is from Rfam by way of RNAcentral. Lineage: Eukaryota; Metazoa; Chordata; Mammalia; Artiodactyla; Camelidae. RNAcentral also lists the same sequence under 2 other names.